UCUUUCAAUUUCCCUAUAACUGAUGAACUCCUUAUGUGUACAUAUUUGUAGCUAUUUUCCUUUCCUCUCCCCUUUUAGAACUGCCUCUGCACUUGCACACUCUCUUAGUAUUUAAGUUCUGCACCCCCCCCCCUUGUAAGUCUUGCCUUGGGACCCUUGAGCUCCCUCUAAACUUGGACACUUGAGGGCUAGCCCUUCCACAC
This 203-nucleotide long non-coding RNA is filed under the name Nicotiana benthamiana. RNAcentral describes it as "long non-coding RNA (NBEN_LNC000177)". The record is from RNAcentral. Lineage: Eukaryota; Viridiplantae; Streptophyta; Magnoliopsida; Solanales; Solanaceae.